Molecule: ribosomal RNA, 557 nt
Filed under: uncultured Rhizobium sp.
Lineage: Bacteria; Pseudomonadati; Pseudomonadota; Alphaproteobacteria; Hyphomicrobiales; Rhizobiaceae
Description: bacterial SSU rRNA
Rfam family: Bacterial small subunit ribosomal RNA
Source: RNAcentral
ACGGGUGAGUAACGCGUGGGAAUCUACCGUGCCCUGCGGAAUAGCUCCGGGAAACUGGAAUUAAUACCGCAUACGCCCUACGGGGGAAAGAUUUAUCGGGGUAUGAUGAGCCCGCGUUGGAUUAGCUAGUUGGUGGGGUAAAGGCCUACCAAGGCGACGAUCCAUAGCUGGUCUGAGAGGAUGAUCAGCCACAUUGGGACUGAGACACGGCCCAAACUCCUACGGGAGGCAGCAGUGGGGAAUAUUGGACAAUGGGCGCAAGCCUGAUCCAGCCAUGCCGCGUGAGUGAUGAGGGCCUUAGGGUUGUAAAGCUCUUUCACCGGAGAAGAUAAUGACGGUAUCCGGAGAAGAAGCCCCGGCUAACUUCGUGCCAGCAGCCGCGGUAAUACGAAGGGGGCUAGCGUUGUUCGGAAUUACUGGGCGUAAAGCGCACGUAGGCGGAUAUUUAAGUCAGGGGUGAAAUCCCAGAGCUCAACUCUGGAACUGCCUUUGAUACUGGGUAUCUUGAGUAUGGAAGAGGUAAGUGGAAUUCCGAGUGUAGAGGUGAAAUUCGUAGA